UUCAUAUUACUUCUGUUGGUGACCCAUUUCGUGUUCUGCAAUUCUAUUCACAUUUUAGGAUCCAAUUGGUUCAGAAACACAGAAUUGGGUGUAAUGCCGAGGAGGGUUUGCUCUGGAACGAUCGUGGAGUGCCUCUCUGCGACAGAGAUGGAGAUGGAGAUGGACUCGGAGUCUAAUCGACGAGUUCUGGCAAUGCAGAAGAGGUAUAUCAGUUACGAGACCCUGAAGAAGGACAUGAUACCGUGUACAAGACCUGAGGCUUCCUACUACGACUGCCAUGCCUUGAGACAGGCGAAUCCCUACUCCAGAGGAUGUGAAGUCAUUACGCGCUGUAGAGAUACUCAGGAGACGCCAUGAGCCUUAAAAUGGAAAAUCUGUUAAAUAAGAAGAACAUCUCAUUAUGCAGAAGAAGCUUCAGGAGGAAGGCAGAAUUAAGGACUUGUUUUCAACCAUUUCUAGCAGGGUAGUGAUGGAUACAGAUGCAGCAGAUAUUCCAGGGGCACUCAUCAGGAACAUGAAUCACCAUUUAACAAGUUUGGCAUCUUUUGCAGGUGGUUUUUAUUG
Long non-coding RNA from Telopea speciosissima, 564 nucleotides. RefSeq lists it as uncharacterized. The record is from RefSeq and is a predicted model, not a curated record. The transcript is spliced from 2 exons. NCBI's taxonomy places the organism in Eukaryota, Viridiplantae, Streptophyta, Magnoliopsida, Proteales, Proteaceae.